AAAAUGCGAUAAGUAGUGUGAAUUGCAGAAUUCAGUGAAUCAUCGAAUCUUUGAACGCACAUUGCGCCCCUUGGUAUUCCAUGGGGCAUGCCUGUUCGAGCGUCAUUGACACCCUCAAGCUUUGCUUGGUGUUGGGCCGUUGUCGUUUCCUCGCUCCCCAGCGACGCAGCGACACCCCUCAAAGUCAUUGGCGGCCUUUCUGCCCGGCUUCUCGCGCAGCACAUUGCGCUUCUCGAGGCUGCGGCGGCCCGCGUCCAACAAGCUGAACCCCCCCGUCUUUGACCUCGGAUCAGGUAGGGAUACCCGCUGAACUUAAGC
RNAcentral lists this unclassified non-coding RNA (318 nucleotides) under plant metagenome. RNAcentral describes it as "partial contains 5.8S ribosomal RNA, internal transcribed spacer 2, and large subunit ribosomal RNA". The stretch from base 1 to 105 matches the Rfam family "5.8S ribosomal RNA", at positions 50 to 154 of the family's 154-position model. The record is from RNAcentral.